GAAAUUCCACCAGCGCGUCCUCGGAAGCGACUGGAAGCUCCGGGGAAGGCAGAGCCCGCAGCAUCCGCCACCGGCCGGAGAGGGAAAGAUGCUCCCCGCACAAACCAUUCCUGCGCGGUCACAACGAGUAAGUAACGCAGAGCGCUGCCGGUCCUGGCCGACUCCAGCACACCCCCAGAGAGAGAUGGCAGCGUUUCAUGGUCCUUGGCACUCUGAAGAGCAACCCAGGGAAUCCGCAGUGGGAUCGCCCGCGAAGUGACGCCCCUGACCUAAGCUGUCACCAGAGGUCUGCGGGCAGACGCGCUGGAACAAGAAUGCUAAAAAGCAGGGGCAGCCCUAUGGACGCCAUCCCUCCUACGAUGCUAUCUUUAGGGAAGAGGUUGCACGGGGAGACCCCCCCAAAAUAAACACUCGUUUUUUCAAUGUG
Molecule: non-coding RNA, 427 nt
Organism: Lonchura striata (white-rumped munia)
Lineage: Eukaryota; Metazoa; Chordata; Aves; Passeriformes; Estrildidae
Source: RefSeq, a predicted model, not a curated record